RNAcentral lists this ribosomal RNA (465 nucleotides) under Vreelandella stevensii. Its description in RNAcentral is "partial 16S ribosomal RNA". It matches the Rfam family "Bacterial small subunit ribosomal RNA", at positions 338 to 795 of the family's 1533-position model. The record is from RNAcentral. Lineage: Bacteria; Pseudomonadati; Pseudomonadota; Gammaproteobacteria; Oceanospirillales; Halomonadaceae.
CCUACGGGAGGCAGCAGUGGGGAAUAUUGGACAAUGGGGGCAACCCUGAUCCAGCCAUGCCGCAUGUGUGAAGAAGGCCCUCGGGUUGUAAAGCACUUUCAGUGAGGAAGAACGCCUGGUGGUUAAUACCCAUCAGGAAAGACAUCACUCACAGAAGAAGCACCGGCUAACUCCGUGCCAGCAGCCGCGGUAAUACGGAGGGUGCGAGCGUUAAUCGGAAUUACUGGGCGUAAAGCGCGCGUAGGUGGCUUGAUAAGCCGGUUGUGAAAGCCCCGGGCUCAACCUGGGAACGGCAUCCGGAACUGUCAAGCUAGAGUGCAGGAGAGGAAGGUAGAAUUCCCGGUGUAGCGGUGAAAUGCGUAGAGAUCGGGAGGAAUACCAGUGGCGAAGGCGGCCUUCUGGACUGACACUGACACUGAGGUGCGAAAGCGUGGGUAGCAAACAGGAUUAGAUACCCCAGUAGUC